RNAcentral lists this ribosomal RNA (414 nucleotides) under Bactrocera allwoodi. RNAcentral describes it as "partial large subunit ribosomal RNA". Lineage: Eukaryota; Metazoa; Arthropoda; Insecta; Diptera; Tephritidae. The record is from RNAcentral.
UUUUGAGUUAUUUUUAAAGUCUGACCUGCCCACUGAAGUUAUUUAAAUGRCCGCAGUAUUCUAWCUGUGCAAAGGUAGCAUAAUCAUUAGUCUUUUAAUUGAAGGMUGGUAUGAACGGUUGGACGAGGUAUAAGCUGUUUCAUAUAAAUUUAUAAUAGAAUUUUAUAUUUUAGUUAAAAAGCUAAAAUAUAAUUAAAAGACGAGAAGACCCUAUAAAUCUUUAUACUUUAUGUUUUUUAAGUUUUUUAGAUUGUAUUUUAUUUUUAAAAUUUGAAGUAUUUUGUUGGGGUGAUAUUAAAAUUUAAUGAACUUUUAAUUAUUUAAAAUCAUUAAUUUAUGAAUUAUUGAUCCAUUAAUAGUGAUUAUAAGAUUAAGUUACUUUAGGGAUAACAGCGUAAUUUUUUUGGAGAGUUC